UAGAGUUUGAUCCAUGGCUCAGGAUUAACGCUGGCGGUGUGCUUUAUACAUGCAAGUCGAACGCCUUGCACCGCAAGGUGCAGGGAGUGGCAAACGGGUGAGUAACACGUGGGUAACCUACCCUCAAGUGGGGAAUAACUUGCCGAAAGGUGGGCUAAUACCGCAUAUGGUAAGAAGAUGCAAUUUCUUUUUACUAAAGAUUUAUCGCUUGAGGAGGGGCCUGCGCCUGAUUAGCUUGUUGGUGGGGUAAUAGCUCACCAAGGCUCUGAUCAGUAGCUGGACUGAGAGGUUGGUCAGCCACACUGGAACUGAGAUACGGUCCAGACUCCUACGGGAGGCAGCAGUAAGGAAUCUUCCACAAUGGGCGCAAGCCUGAUGGAGCGACACCGCGUGUAGGAUGAAGGCCUUCGGGUCGUAAACUACUUUUUUGUGGGACGAAAAUUCGGACUGACCACAAGAAUAAGCUCGCC
Molecule: ribosomal RNA, 470 nt
Filed under: uncultured bacterium
Lineage: Bacteria
Description: bacterial SSU rRNA
Rfam family: Bacterial small subunit ribosomal RNA
Source: RNAcentral